Panonychus citri (citrus red mite) is the source of this 800-nucleotide long non-coding RNA. RefSeq lists it as uncharacterized. The record is from RefSeq and is a predicted model, not a curated record. Lineage: Eukaryota; Metazoa; Arthropoda; Arachnida; Trombidiformes; Tetranychidae. The transcript has 2 exons.
GCCUCAGGUCUCAGCAGCAGGUAUCCUCUCCCUCUCUCUCCUCACCCCUGAUACUGAUCAUCCAUCAUCUCUCGCCAGUUAUUGAAAUUACUAACCUUCAUCAAGCCUAUCAUCUAAACUCCUCAUCAUCAUCCUCUCUCUUUCUCACAUUAAUCCUGACUUCUUUGACUCUCUAACUAAACAUAUCCUGCUAGGUCAUCUUCAUCUUCAUCAUUCACAACAAACGUUUAACUAAUCACAUUUAGACGUUUGUCUCAUCCUAAUGAUAAAUUUAUAUAUAUAAAAGUUUCAUGGAUAACUGAGUAUGAAAUUGAAACAAUUUUGAUAUCUUACCUGCUCAUCCUUUUUACACUACCUGUCAUCAUCAUCAAAUAACAACAUGAUUCAAUUAAAUUAAUUGAAUAUAUUAUCUUUGUACUUGUUGGAAGAUCUUAAACUGUUUCUAUCAAAAUCAUGAUGAUCAUCAAUUGAUUAUCAAAUGAACUGAAGGAUAAACAACACAUAUGAAACUUCAUCUUUUGCCGCUUUUCGGGAAAUUAACAACACAAAAUGUUACUCAAAACGUCAAGAAGAUGAUGCUAAUGAUGAUGAUAAAAAAGAUGAAAAGGAUGAAUAAGUUAAUCGCCUCUGGGCUUAAAUCAUCUUCUUUUUAUCUUCGUCAUAAUUGAAACUUGUGUUUCUUUAGAUGCCAUUGAUUUUUAAUCCCUCACAGUGGUCGCUGAACUUGAUUAAUCUUUAAUGAUAAUAAUAACCAAUCAACUCAAUCAAUCGUUAAUAUAAUAACAAUCUUUUGUUUCUAA